AACGAACGCUGGCGGCAUGCCUAACACAUGCAAGUCGAACGAGACCUUCGGGUCUAGUGGCGCACGGGUGCGUAACGCGUGGGAACCUGCCCUUAGGUUCGGAAUAACUCCCCGAAAGGGGUGCUAAUACCGGAUAAUGUCUUCGGACCAAAGAUUUAUCGCCUUUGGAUGGGCCCGCGUUGGAUUAGCUAGUUGGUAGGGUAAAAGCCUACCAAGGCGACGAUCCAUAGCUGGUCUGAGAGGAUGAUCAGCCACACUGGGACUGAGACACGGCCCAGACUCUUACGGGAGGCAGCAGUGGGGAAUAUUGGACAAUGGGCGAAAGCCUGAUCCAGCAAUGCCGCGUGAGUGAUGAAGGCCUUAGGGUUGUAAAGCCCUUUUACCCGGGAUGAUAAUGACAGUACCGGGAGAAUAAGCUCCGGCUAACUCCGUG
RNAcentral lists this ribosomal RNA (433 nucleotides) under uncultured bacterium. RNAcentral describes it as "partial 16S ribosomal RNA". It matches the Rfam family "Bacterial small subunit ribosomal RNA", at positions 29 to 507 of the family's 1533-position model. The record is from RNAcentral.